UCUCAUUAAAAGAUGGAUAACCAAUUUUGAAUGUAACAUUCCACUUAAAUGGGGGUGACGACCUAGUGUAUCUCAUUGAAAGACACAUGAUCAAUACUAAAUAUAACAUGACACUUUGAAUGGUAUGACGGACCAAAUAAGAUAUGUCCUUUAGAAAGGAUGGUUGAACUAAAUAAGAUGUGUCCUUUUGAAAUAGUGGAUGACCCAAAGCCGACAUAGAUCGCCUACAUAUCCCAUUCUUGAGAAUUCAGGUCAAACGUAGUUCAUACAUAUAAUGAAAGGAUAAGUUUUCUAAGAGGUUGACCAAAGCCUACAUAAACCGUCUACAUAUUUCUUUUUGAGAAUUUAGGUCAAACGUAGUUCGUGCUAAAAUUUUACUACUAUAUAGAAACACUGGUGGAGGACGGCCAAGGUCAGAAAUGUAAUUUCACAAAAUAAUAUCUUUGCCGCAUAAUAAACCUAGAAGUCUCUGGACACUCUCCAUUGCUUGAACAGAGCAUUUGUAUCACUCUUUCUCAUUCAGAAAAUUAUCACUUCUCUCCGUCCUUCCAAUGGGUUUCAAAUUCAGGUAUGUUCCUAUUUUUAUCUUUCGUCUUUUAUUUAUUUCUUUAAACGGUCUUUCCAAGUUCUCUUCAAAUUUUCCAUUUUUGUUGUCGCAUUUCAUGUCUGUUAAAGAAAAGAUUAAAAUUUUAGUUAUAACAAAUUAAGAUUUUAAUUCUUGUUGCUUUAUUAUUCUUUUCAAAUUAUUUCACUGGUGAGAUUGGAAAUACCUUUGAUCAGUGCAGGAAGCUCAGGUUACCUUGAUUUAAGCUACAAAAACUUGACUCGGAGAGUUGUCAGUUGGUUUUGAUAAACUUAGGGAGUUUUCGAUAUCUAAAAACAAGUGUACUGGAGGACUUAAAUUUUUCUUCAAACAAUUUUUCAGAGCCAAUUCCUAAGGAAAUUGGAUCAGUUAUAAGUCUUCAAGAACUUUACUUGGGAAGCAACAAUUUUCAAGGGACAUUCCAGAAGCUCUAUUAAGUUUAAGAAAUUUGCUGUUUCUUGAUCUUAGUAGAAACAACUUCAGAGGAGAAAUACAAGAAAUUUUUGGGCGAUUUACACUAGUAAAGUUUCUUAUAUUGCAUGAAAUUCCUAACUUAGGGAACCUUUCUCGAUUGGACGCAUGGCAACUCUUAUGCUGGAGGCAUAGUUACCUCUGGAAUUCCCAACUUAGGGAACCUUUCUCGAUUAAACUUGAACGAUAAUCAAUUCGCUGGUCCAUUGCCAGUUGAACUUUCCAAGAUGAAAGGCUUGAAGUUUUUGAUUCUUGCAUACAACCAGUUUAAUGGAAGUAUACCCUCAGAAUACGGGGAUAAUCCGAUAUUUCAGGCCCUUCAUCUUUCCUCUAAUAAGUUAAUUGGCCAGAUACCACCAAGUUUAGGGAAGCUAACCUCACUUUUGUGGUUGAUGCUUGCUAACGAUUCACUGACAGAUAGCAUCCCACCUGAGUUGGGAAAUUGCAGCAGCUUAUUGUGGUUGAAUCAUGCAAACAAUCAACUUUCAGGGCCAAUACCACCUCAGUUAGCAAAAAUUGGCUCAAAUUCUAUGCCUAUUUUAUUGUCGAAUAGGGCAAAGGAUAAGGCCACUGUUGGCUCGGGGGAAUGCUUCUUUAUGAAGAGGUGGAUACUAGCUGAUUAUCCUCCAUUUAGCCUUGUAUGUCCUCUCCUUACCCAGAAGAAUUGUAAAAGCCUAUAGGAUAAAUUGCUUAAGGGGUAUGGUUUAUUUCCAGUGUGUGAACUGGGUAGUAAUCAUUUUUCUCUACAUUUUUUUUAAUUGAAUAUAGAAAUCAUAUUAUUUCACUUCGUAUAACUUGAAGUUUACUGUCCUGAAGAGAUCACCUUCCAAGCUUUGUGAAGGGAGUUCUUAGGCCUGCAAUAACUUUUUGUUAUCGUUUCCUCCAAUUUAUUCACCAUUUCACAGACCUUAUUUAUUUCUUAAUCUUUGAGCUUAUGUUUUUUCCUAAUACUAAUAUAUUUGAGGAUGCGACAUACAAAAGCAGAAAAUCUGUAAAGUGUGUUGCGUUACCUCUAACUCAUCAUGAGUUGUACAAGCAGAUUGUUGUAGAUCCUCCAUGUGGUGUAUUAUUCUAUGGUCUAUCAAACACUGGGAAAACUAUGUAUCUAAAGGCUGUAGCAAAUCAUACCACCACAACCUUCAUAAGGGUUGUUUCUCAGAAUUUAUUCAAAAGUACUUGGACGAGGUAAACUUGAAGUCUUAUUUUUAGUUUAAAGUGUUUGUAUCUCAUAAAAAGAGAUAGGUGGAAGAACAUGUCAAAAUCUUCAUGUUUGCUUUUACCAUCAUAAACUUAGUAUGUCUUUUACAGUAAAUGUCCUUACAUGACACUCGCAAUAUGGAGAUAAGCUUCGUGCUGCAUUUCUAAAAUUUUACUGCUCUCACUAAAAAACAAGGACUGUAAAAAAGUUAAAGCACUUACGGAGUAGUGGUGGUAUAUAAUCUAUUUAUGAUGAUACAAUAAUUUUCGAAGUAUGUUUGAAAACGUCAAGAAUUGCAUGUUUCUUAAAACUUUAUCCUAUAGCUGGGCUGGCAGAAAGUUUUUGAAGUUAUGGCAAAUAGUCUUUAUUUAGUAAUAUGAUUAUUUGAAUCUAAAUAUGGUCAAAGUCUUGAUGACAACUUGCAGGUAAAGAAGCUUUCUGAAAACUACUUAAUCUUACUUAUAAAUGAAAUUCCUAACAACAAGAAGUAAUUUUUAAAUGUCUUGUAGUAUUUGUUAUGAUAGAAUUUUGUAUUAUUUUUUGAAUUCUAGCAAAGUUGCUGCAUAAACUCUUGCAAAUGAGGCUCUGGUAACUGUUUCUUACUGGUGAGUUAUGGGUUUAAUUUGAUUAACAACACAAUGAUUACAUUUUGGCAUGUUGUUUGUAUAGCGCUUGCCAAUUUCUGAAGUAGUGCCUAAAUAUGAACAACUUCUAUCCACAUUUCCCACAUCGGCGAGUCCCCAAUCUCAGUUUGGUAACGAUUGUCGAGACUGAUCAGUUGGAAACACUUAUAAUCUUUGAAGUGAGAGUGAUACUUCUAAAUUUUUCAAAACAUCUUACAUGUCUUCAAAUGGUAUAUUUCUUCAUUGCACAUAAGUGUUCCGUUUCUUUUUCUAUAGCAUAGAAGGCUAGAUUUAUCCAUCCUUAUGUAGUCAUAAUCUAUGGGAUUACUGGAUGUGUCUUGCCAUCAAUGUUUGUUAAACUUCAGUUCCCUGUGUGCUAGGAUAUCUUUACUAGAAUAUAAUAUUAUAAUGGCUUCUAAUUCACUGUUUAUCCACAUUGUUUGCUAUUCAUUUCUGUUGACAUCCUUAAUGUUUGACAUUUACUAUUAACUGUUGGUUAAAUUUGGGCAGUUUUAAAUGCCAGAAAUAGGAUUAACUUAUAACCAUAAGAAAAUAUGUAGAAUGUUUGAUAGUUUCUCUUAAUUUCCUGUGUUGUCCUUGCAGUCUAUCCAUGCAGUCUGCUUGGUCAAUGACCAUUUGAUAAAGAAAACUACAGAUUGAGGAUACCUUAAGAACCACAUAAAGAUUAAGAACUAUCUCAGUACGCACCACAUGCAUUAGGAAUCAGUUUUGGUAAUUUACACAAGAAACUAGGAUGAUAUUAGGAACGACCAAGGGCAAAAUAAUUAUUUUGCUCUACGAAAUUGACCAAAAUAAUAUGAAAUUUAGAAUCGAUAAGAUUACCCCCAUUACACAUCAAAGAGAAGGUUGUGAAUGUUGCUCGGAUUCUCCAAAAAGAGUGUUGCAUCCAUGUUAGAUCCUCCAAAAAGGCACUACUUUUAAAGGAUACGACAUGUACCCGUCGAUAUUUUGAAGAGUCCGCACAACAUAGCUUUUAAUAAGUUUAUUUUAGAAUAAAAAUGUCAUUGCAGCAUACUACCUCAUUAGGAGACCAAAAGAACACACGAAAGAAAUUAUGAUACAAGUACGAUUGUGAUUGUGGACCAAUACGUAAAGACUCGAGCUCGGGUGGCUGCCCAACCAAUGGAACAAGUUUUGAAGUGUAGAGAACAAGUCCCAACACUCCAAAGCCAUCCAAUAUGCACACUCUAAGGCUGCCCUUUUGCCAUGGCUCAUUAAGGGAAUUUUAGUCAUUUUAUAUUUUGAAACCUAGGCUAUAAAUAGAACAUGUUAGGUCAUUUUGUCAUAACUUUGAUGAUAUUUUGAGAGCUCUAGAGAGAGAGUCUUGUAAGGUGGAUUCCUUGUAAACAAGUGUGGAUAUCACUUGUGUUGGUGCUAGUUUUGAAACGUUGGUUGCUUGGGAAUCUUGUUCCCUUGAGGUCACCGUAGAGCUUGGUGUUACUUGUAUGAAUUCUUGUGUCUUUGUGUUUAAUAUACACUUAGGUUCAUAGUGUUUGUACAUUUGUAUGUCAAUUUAGCUAUCUAUCUAUCUAUUUAUCUAUUUCAUUGUUGUUGUUAUUCAUUCUCGGGUUUGGUGUCCUAAAACCGAGACUUUGUGUUCUUCUUGUUCUUGUUCUUGUGUUGUUAAUCUAGUUUGUUGGCUCGCUGGUUUUAGAGGUAUUAAACACCUUAAUAUCUUAUUGUUAUUGCGUUUUCGUUGUUGUUGUAGUGAGUUUGAGAGUGGUCACCAAAGGGGUCCUCGGUUCUUCCAACUUGUGGACUGUUUUGGUGUUUGUUUUGUGUCUCCUUUGUCGAUCUUGUAUCAUUUGGUAUCAGAGCAUGACUUGAUUUUGUUUCCACAAGAUCAAUCUUGCGCUAGAUUGCUUGAAAAACAAAAUGUAGUGUUCUUGAGUUUGGAUCUUGGCCGAAAGUUGUUGUGUUCUUGUUGUGUUUGGUCGAGACUUGAAAAUUAGAUCUAGGAGUCAUUUUUUUCUUGGUGUUUCUAGUGUUAGUUUUCUUCAUCACUAACACUCUUGAGUCAAAAUCUAAAUUUGAGCUUGCAUUUGUUGAAGUGUUGUUGUGAACUUAAAGCCUUAGCCGAUUGUGUUGCCAUCUUGGUGGACUUGGCCGUGAUUUGUUGGCCUUGUUGUUGUCGGAAUUGAUUGUUGGAAUUGUUGUGUUCUUGGUGAUCGUUAAAGUUGUUCUUGAUGUUCUUCAUCCCUUUCAAGACUUGUUAAAAUAAAGUGAAUACUAGAUCUAUAAAGUUGAAGAGAAAAAGGUGAAAGCUUUUUAGCCUUGAAAGACUUACCAUCACCCAUUAACUAGUCAAUCACUUCCUAACAACUUUCCUUGUUUAAAGGGGGAUGGUACACAAAAGUCAAGUCUUUCACUUUUGAAUUUGACAAUAGGAUUUCAAGACUUGUUUCCCUCCUAAAUCAAUUCCCACCAAUUUCAAAUCACAAAUUGUUCAAGACUUCCAAUUUUGGAAAAUAAAAUUUGUUAAGACCGCAACCAAUACGUGGCUUCCACGUCAUAUUUUACUGUUCACACGACAAAUUUAGGCUCAAAUUUUUGAUUUAUUAGUUUCUAAUCUUUGUUUCUUAGUUGCAUUUUGUUGAUUCUACUGCUAAUUAGCAAACUAGUAAUUAUCUACUAGGUUGUAAAUUAGUUUUGGGUCCGUUUAUUCGUGUCUAUGUUUCUUUGUGUGCUUUUAUCUUUUUGAAAUUCGUUGUAGUUUCUUGGUUCAAGUCUGUGCGUAUUUUCUUUGAGUUGUUCAAAAGAGAAUCUAUUCCGACCUCGAGCCCCAAUUGGUACCAAGUAAUCUCCUUGGAGUAUAAACGAGUUACCAACACUUGUGAGGCCAAUUGAGAGGCAUUUCAAAGUGUGAGAGCUUAAGAGCUUGUGAGGAUGUUUUCUUUUCUAAUAUUAACUAGUUUGUUGUUUUUUGUGUUUUUGUUUUAGAAUUUCUUUUGUUAGGAACUAUGGCAUUGGAAAAGGUGACCAUGAACGAUUUGAUAGCUGCCAUAAUGGGUAUGAAACAUGACAUUAGCAGCCGAAUGGAGAGAAUGCAAAAAAAAUAAUGGACCGAGUGGAAGGAAGAAUAGAAGGGAUGGAAAGCUCUCUUUGCAAGGAGUUGGAUAACUUGAUAGAGAAUCCAAGUCUUUUUAAUCAAGUUCCUGUAAGUGGACAUGCUACACAUGAGCUACAAGGUAAUUAAACUAACUCUUGCACUCUAGUGAAUGAGGCUAGUAGCCAACUAAGUGUGAAUGGUAGUUUGUCUUUAGGCGAGCCGAAUGUGCCUCCAUUUGGUGAUGAUAAUGUACAACUUGAGAUUGUGGAUACACUAGUUGAUCCAUCUAGUGUUGAGGCCAUUGUGGCAAGUGAUAAUAUAUUAUCUUAUGGAAGUCAUGAAGACCAACUUGUGUGUGAAAAUGGUGAUGUUCAACAUGUUGGCCGAUUGACUAUGGAUGACACUUUAGUUAUUUUUAUUGUAGACCAUGCUAGUAUAGAGGGGAUAUAUGAUUGUACUAGUACAGUAUGUGGAAAAGGAAAUGCAUCCGAAACCCGGGUCCAUGGACACUCCACCCAUUUGAUCCCGGUGAUUAUUUGAAGUAUGGUGAUGAGGAUGUCUUUUGGAAUGACUUGAAUGUGCAUGGAAUUUAUGGCCUUCCUAUCUCGGCUUUCAAGCCUAUUUGUUGUUCAAAGAAGAGUAUGUUUUCCACUUGAUGAGAAACUCUUGUUCUUUAUUUUUUGUCACACUUGUGUGGAUAGACUAGUUGACUUUUUCUUGGGAGGGUAUUCGAGUAAGAGGGAUGUUUGGGUGUAUGUGAAGUUUGAGCCACCUUGGCAAGAUGCUAUGAUUGAUUACACUAAUCCUAACCUUCAUACCUUGAGGAACUUGUGUUUGCUUGUCCUUCCUAUUAUUAUGCAAGGUUUGGAUCCAAGGUCGAAUCCUUUUUCAAGAAGGGGAGGAUGAUACAAGUACGAUCGUGAUUUUGGACCAAUACAUAAAGACUCGAGUUUGGGUGGCUGUCCAACCAAUGGAACAAGUUUUGAAGUGUAGAGAACAAGUCCCAACACUCCAAAACCAUCCAAUAUGCACACUCCAAGGCCGCCCUUUUUCCAUGGCUCAUUAAGGGAAUUUUGGUCAUUUUAUAUUAAGUUGAAACCUAGCUAUAAAUAGAACAUGUUAGGUCAUUUUGUCAUAACUUUAAUGAUAUUUUAAGAGCUCUAGAGAGAGAGUCUUGCAAGGUGGAUUCCUUGUAAACAAGUGUGGCUAUCACUUGUGUUGGUGCUAGUUUUGAAACGUUGGUUGCUUGGGAAUCUUGUUCCCUCGAGGGCAACGUAGAACUUGGUGUUACUUGUAUGAAUUCUUGUGUCUUUGUGUUUAAUAUACACUUAGGUUCAUAGUGUUUGUACAUUUGUAUGUCAAGUUACCUAUCUAUCUAUCUAUCUAUCUAUCUAUUUCAUUGUUGUUGUUAUUCAUUCUCGGGUUUGGUGUCCUAAAACCGAGACUUUGUGUUCUUGUUCUUGUGCUUGUAGUUUUAAUCUAAUUUGUUGGCUCACUGAUUUUAGAGGUGUUGAACACCUUAAUAUCUUGUUGUUAUUGUAUUUUUGUUGUUGUUGUAGUGAAUCCGAGAGUGGUCACCAAAGGGGUCCUCGGUUCUUCCAACUUGUGGAUUGUUUUGGUGUUUGUUUUGUGUCUCCUUUGUCGAUCUAGUAUCAAAUUGUUUGUUGAAAUAACUUUCAAGAUUACUUAUCCCGAAUAGAAUAUACAAGAUUAUAUCUACGUGAUCAAAUAGACAACAUAAAAGAUUUUAUUUGGACUAUGUCUUAUGCGCUACAAAAAUUUUUUUUUGUUAAACUUAUAUUUUGAGCCAUUUUGGAGUGUAUUAAUUCUGUUGACACUUCAGUUCCAAGUCAUGAUACUAUGUCUACCAUCUUUAUGUGGUUUUACUUCUAACUGGGAGGAACAUGUUGUAAAUUGAUACCUUCAGCCCCCCUACAUGAGCGUUCAUGCAUUAUUGAGUUUGAUGGGGCUUCAAAGGGGAAUGAUAGACUAACAGGUGCUGCUGCUAUGCUGCGUGCUGUAGAUGGAAGUAUGGUUUUCCGGUUGCGUGAAGGUGUGGGGAUGGGAACUAACAAUGUUUCUGAAUAGAGAGGCUUAAUCUUAGGGCUAAAAUAUACUCUUGAGAAAGGUUUCAAACACAUAAAAGUUAAGGGUAACCCAAAACUUGUCUGCAUGCAGAUCUUCUUUCUCUUUCUUCUUACUUCUGCUUUUCUAUUUUUUUUUUUUCAUUUUGCCUUCAGAAAAUUAGUCAAUUAUUUCUGCUUUCUCACUUUUAAUAUCUUGUCAAAUAUCUUUGGUUGCACAUCUAACUAACUUCAAAAAAGAGACUAUCAAAGGAUGUGGUGCAGUGGAUAGGGCUGCUCCCUCUCUUAAUCAGAGAUCUCGAUUCAAGCCUUGGAUAUGAAAAAAUCUUUGAUAGGAAGCACUACCCCCGAAUGGAGGCCCUACCCGGCACGUAUCUUGAGUCAGACUCUAAUCAAGUACCGGACACGGGAUAAAAAACAAAAAAAAUUCAAAAAAGAGAGAUGACAACACUUUGGCUACUUUAGGUUCAUAUAAAUUCUUUAAUUAAUUAAAGGUCAAGAUUCUUGAACCCCAUUUAAUCUUGGGUUAAUAAUAAUUUUGGUUCCUUAUUAAUAAAUUUCAAUUUUAAUCCUUGUGAUAUCUAAAUACAAAUGUCCAUGACACCGAUCCAUCACUUAAUUAUUGUUACUUCAGGUUUGAUAGUAAUAUAGUUUUAAAAAGGGAAAAAUGUUCAAUAUAUACCCAAAUUUUAGUGAAAUUUGUUAUAUUACACCUGAACUUUGUGGGGUCCUAUCACCCCCCGAACUAUUUAUUAGUAUAUUUUAGUGAUAUUUAUAAGCUAAUAAAAGAUAAAAAAUGCUAAAAAAAUUUAAAAGAGAAUUUUGUUCAAAUAAGUAUCAAUAAAAUAAGAUAAUAAAUAGUCUAGGUUGCCAUAGGACUCCCGUAAAGUUCCGACGUGUAACAACAAAUUUCGUCAAAGUUAAGGUAUAUUUGAGAAUAUUUUCCCUUUUAAAAACAAUUGAAAUAUAACAUAGUUCCUGUAAUAAGGGAUCAAAUAAACUAUACAUUUAUGAAAAA
This is a long non-coding RNA of Capsicum annuum, 9047 nucleotides long. RefSeq lists it as uncharacterized. The record is from RefSeq and is a predicted model, not a curated record. Lineage: Eukaryota; Viridiplantae; Streptophyta; Magnoliopsida; Solanales; Solanaceae. The transcript is spliced from 2 exons.